RNAcentral lists this ribosomal RNA (660 nucleotides) under Pleurotus purpureo-olivaceus. RNAcentral describes it as "LSU rRNA". It matches the Rfam family "Eukaryotic large subunit ribosomal RNA", at positions 38 to 676 of the family's 3401-position model. The record is from RNAcentral. Lineage: Eukaryota; Fungi; Basidiomycota; Agaricomycetes; Agaricales; Pleurotaceae.
GCAUAUCAAAAAGCGGAGGAAAAGAAACUAACAAGGAUUCCCCUAGUAACUGCGAGUGAAGCGGGAAAAGCUCAAAUUUGAAAUCUGGUGGUCUUUGGCCAUCCGAGUUGUAAACUAGAGAAGUGCUAUCCGCGCUGGACCGUGUACAAGUCCCCUGGAAUGGGGCGUCAUAGAGGGUGAGAAUCCCGUCUUUGACACGGACUACCAGGGCUUUGUGAUGUGCUCUCAAAGAGUCGAGUUGUUUGGGAAUGCAGCUCAAAAUGGGUGGUAAAUUCCAUCUAAAGCUAAAUAUUGGCGAGAGACCGAUAGCGAACAAGUACCGUGAGGGAAAGAUGAAAAGAACUUUGGAAAGAGAGUUAAACAGUACGUGAAAUUGUUGAAAGGGAAACGCUUGAAGUCAGUCGCGUCGGCUAGGGAUCAACCUUACUUUUUUGUGGGGUGCACUUCCUGGUUGAUGGGUCAACAUCAAUUUUGGUCGCUGGAUAAAGGUCAGGGAAAUGUGGCAUCCUCGGAUGUGUUAUAGUCCUUGAUCAGAUACAGCGGCUGGGAUUGAGGCUCUCAGCACGCCGAAAGGCCGGGGGUUUCUACCUCACGUUCGUGCUUAGGAUGUUGGCAAAAUGGCUUUAAUCGACCCGUCUUGAAACACGGACAAAGGAGUCA